Molecule: long non-coding RNA, 988 nt
Organism: Strigops habroptila (Kakapo)
Lineage: Eukaryota; Metazoa; Chordata; Aves; Psittaciformes; Psittacidae
Exons: 4
Source: RefSeq, a predicted model, not a curated record
CAAGGUAAGGGAUUUGAAAAUCCUCCUACAAAAAUGUGGUGAACAAGCAUUUUAUGUGCUGUAACCCUUUUGCUUCAGAACAUGUGCAGAUAAAUCUUCCUCAUGUUUAACUUCCCCGUAGAUGACUGUUUAGCCCUCAGGUGCAGGUGGGUCUGCAUUUGCUCUCAGAAUUCCCAUCUCCAGGAUCCAACGUUAGCUGGGUGAUCUUCAGGGUAUACUGCAAAGGGGUGAACAGGCUGGUCCCUGUUCAGCACAAAGCUUAUUGUCUAAAGCUGAGCAUGUUCUCGAGUAGCCCAGUGAAAUGGACUGUGUCUGGGUGUAGGCCAGGCUGUAGGAGACCUUGCUGGUUUGAGACAGACCUGCUCAUCCCAAUGGUUUCUGCUUCAGUUGGGCAGCCUCUAGUAAGCCCUGGGCUCCUCUCUGUGUUUGUGAGCUGCUGCUGGAAGGAAGCCGUGAGGCAGGUUUCUGAGGCGCUGCUGGAUGAACCGGGGAAGUGCUCUGAUGAACUGUGAUAAAAUGGGUCUGUUCAGACCUUGCACCUCCCUUUUUGCUUGGAAGGGCAGGUGCGUGCCAGAAAAUCCCAACAGGGAGCAGUGGUCAUGCGGUUCCCCCAUCUCUCUGUGUGUUGCUGUUGCCUUCUAGAUCCUGGAUGAUGUGUGCGUGGCAGAAUGCAAAGCUGUCUGAGCAGAUGUUAACCUGUGUGACCUUGGGGAUGGAUGUUAAAAUCCUUUCUAGGACGCUGCGGUGCCAAUAGCCCUUAAUGACAGGGCCAAUAGCCCUUGUAAUGCCUACGAAGUAGUUGGAAGGCUGGUUGCUGCAAGACAUGGGGAUUGAGUUUGCCACCAAUUAAGGAUUAAACUUGCAAACCAUUUUCUCUAGUGAGAGUAACCAUAGGAAGAAAUUGGUUUUGCCUUGUUGUGAAUGCUGGUGUGACAAAAAGGUCCAAGUGUGUUGUGGAGCCUGGUGGCAGGAAAGAGAGACAGCUCUG